Delphinapterus leucas (beluga whale) is the source of this 2394-nucleotide non-coding RNA. NCBI's taxonomy places the organism in Eukaryota, Metazoa, Chordata, Mammalia, Artiodactyla, Monodontidae. The record is from RefSeq and is a predicted model, not a curated record.
ACAGAGACAUCAGGCAAGUCAAGGGUCGCAAUGAGCCAGGGUUCAGCCUGGAGUCUGGCCUGCAGAGCCCUUAGCCCCUGUACUGCACUCAGGAUAACGCAGGGCUGGGAUGUGCUGACCACGACUUACUGCUUGUCUUGAAGGUCACUGGUCAGGUGGAGGUAUUAGUGCUCCUGUGUAGCGACGUUUGAAUGUACUGGGCCGGCGGCCGGGGACCAGGAAGGAGCACGGCAGAGUCCUUGCUGUCAAGGAGUCCUUUUACGGAGGAAAAUAGGAGCACGAGGUCAGCUGCAGAGGACUCAGAGCACAGAGACCGGGUUCUACUUAGAAGGGCAGACCCAGAGAGCAAAAGGAGGUGGGCAAUGGCACAUCCAUCAUAGGAGUCACAUCCCUCACCUGGAAAAGUGAUGAAUGAGGCCCCUGUUCCAUAAAUUUCCCCCAAACCCUAACAUCCUGCCAUCUUCACGCCUGGUCACUGUCCUGCUCAGGAAUGGGCCCCACUGGCCACAUGCUGGUGAUCAAGUCAGCAAGACUGUGCCAGGCUUGCAAGGCAAGAUACUGGGGACAACUGGGAGGCAAGAUACUGGGGACAACUGGGUGCUUCCUGUGACUGCAGUUCACUGUGCUGAGUAAAAACAUAAUGCGCAGACAGGGCUACGACCAUAAGAAAAACAAAAGCCACAAAAUGGUCCAGGUAGCAGGGACACUACCCGCCUCAGAUGUGCAGACCCCUGGGGCCUGUGUUCACAGCAUGGUCCGUAUUCAUGGAAUGGAACGAGGGAGCCGCAUGCUUUCGUUCUCUGGAAGAGUAUCUGCUGUCACCCACUCCUGACAUCGACGCUUUCUAGCUCAGAGCUUUAUGGGCUGUUAUCCAAGAUUGCUUGUGGGUUAUUAUUGAAGAUGGCUCUGUCGCUCUGACAACCAAGCAUGUUGCCUGGCAACCGUUUUCUUGUUGAUUUUGUAUCUCCUCUUAUCGUGGUUUCUGUAUCUUCAGCAAAUCUAUCCCUAUUCUGCUCCCUCCUACUCAGAAUAAAGUCUCUUUACAUUCCUGAAUUACCAGGCACAGAAACAGAGUGACAGAUUCACCAGGCUUAAUCCUAAGAGACUGAGUGAGUUUCACUGCUAUGACUGCGCCUCAACUUUGAGUUUGAAGCAUUGCGGGAAAAAUCCCUGCUGACUUUUAAAAUGUGACCUGUGAGGCUGGUGGCGGAGCGCACAGCUGUUCUGGGGGAGACGAAGUGGUGAAAACGUUGGCAGAUUCUUAAGCGGUUGUCAUUCAAACUUGGAGGGUGCUGAGCAUGUACUGUACCUGAAAGAGGGCCGGUCUGAGCCAGGGAGACAUGCUGACCAUCUGCAGCUGUUCCUGGAGGGUUCCACGUCCUCUGCCCUCUCACUAAUGCCUGAGAUUCUACGGCUAAGUUACAUCCUGUUGCCUUAAAUAAUCAGGCGUGCUUUAAAAUAAAAAUGCUUGCUACAGGAAUAACUGUCUUCAGGUACCACUGAUGUCCUAGUGAAGAUCAGUCAUCACAUCUUUGUAGGGCUGAGGAUCUGAGAACAAGCUUGAUGGGAGAGAGACCACGAGAACACUGGGCUCUGGGGAAAAUGACAAAAUAAUGGGCCCUAGUGGGUCUCUGUCUGCAAGGACUAUGAAAGUCUGGGGGCAACAUCGUCCUCCUCCGUCGUUUUUUGAGAUCUCAAUCAAAUGCAGCCAGGGUCGUGAGCUGCUUCUCUCCUGCAUCUGUCCUCAGUGAUGUAAACACACCUCCUCAUACACCUGCCUCUCUGUGUCUGUGUAUGUUCUCCAUCAGGGGCCUUGACCGAGGCGGUCUUGCCCCCAGCCCCAGGGGCAUGUGGCGACAUCUGGAGACAUCUUCUCGGGGGAGGUGCCGGGGCAUCUAGCGGGGAGGUGGGAACGGCCUACAGUGCACAGGACGGCCCCUCGCAGAGAAUGAUCUGACCCCAAACGUCAACAGUGCCGCACGCGGUUGAGAAACCCUUCUCCAUGUGGAAGCAGAGCUGUGCCCCUCCUCGUUCCAGAAUGCUGGUUUCUAUACCCGUACCUGUGGAAAUACCACUCAACCUUCAAGCCCCCUGUCGAUGCGCCUCUCCCUCACGAGUCUUCUCCUGAUACACCGACGUUCUCACCCGCACGCUUAACCUCUGCUGCUUCCUUUAACACUUACCAGAUACUUCUCUGAAUCAUCACUUGUGACCCCGGCUUAAAGCUGCUAGUAGACUCUGAGCCUCUGUCACGCAGGCGGAGUGACAGCUGGUGAUGCACGAUUACCGCAGGAAGUGGAUUAAAUAACUCAGAAGGACUUCCCUGGUGGCGCAGUGGUUGAGAAUCCUCCUGCCAAUGCAGGGGACACGGGUUCGAGCCCUGGUCCGGGAAGG